GAUGAACGCUGGCGGCGUGCCUAAUACAUGCAAGUCGAACGCUGAAGCUUGGUGCUUGCACCGAGCGGAUGAGUUGCGAACGGGUGAGUAACGCGUAGGUAACCUGCCUCUUAGCGGGGGAUAACUAUUGGAAACGAUAGCUAAUACCGCAUAAAAGUCGAUAUCGCAUGAUAUUGAUUUGAAAGGUGCAAAUGCAUCACUAAGAGAUGGACCUGCGUUGUAUUAGCUAGUUGGUGAGGUAACGGCUCACCAAGGCGACGAUACAUAGCCGACCUGAGAGGGUGAUCGGCCCAACUGGGACUGGGACACGGCCCAGACUCCUACGGGAGGCAGCAGUAGGGAAUCUUCGGCAAUGGGGGCAACCCUGACCGAGCAACGCCGCGUGAGUGAAGAAGGUUUUCGGAUCGUAAAGCUCUGUUGUAAGAGAAGAACGAGUGUGAGAGUGGAAAGUUCACACUGUGACGGUAACUUACCAGAAAGGGACGGCUAACUACGUG
RNAcentral lists this ribosomal RNA (497 nucleotides) under uncultured bacterium. Its description in RNAcentral is "partial 16S ribosomal RNA". It matches the Rfam family "Bacterial small subunit ribosomal RNA", at positions 28 to 507 of the family's 1533-position model. The record is from RNAcentral.